Molecule: non-coding RNA, 71 nt
Organism: Mucilaginibacter lappiensis
Lineage: Bacteria; Pseudomonadati; Bacteroidota; Sphingobacteriia; Sphingobacteriales; Sphingobacteriaceae
Source: Rfam
AGUCGCGUGACCGAGAGGAUAGGUUAAGGUCUGCAAAACCUUCUACGGCAGUUCGAAUCUGCCCGCGACGU